CAUAACAUGUCGUUAUAACGACAUCGCUAUGUCGUAAUUUCGACAUAACAUGUCGUUAUAACGACAUCGCUAUGUCGUAAUUUCGACAUAUCAUGUCGUAAUAACGACAUCACUAUGUCGUUAUAACGACAAAGCUAUGUCGUAAUAACGACAUCGCUAUAUAUUAUAUAAAAGAAUAUGUAUUAUGAUUGCCAAGAGACUAAAUGACACAGAAAUUAACAACUAUAGGUCAUCAUAAUGCCCCCAAUAAUUAGAAAAGCCCCACAUAGUCAGCUAUAAAAGAGGGAGGAAAGAUACCAGAGGGAGAGCCCCCG
This 314-nucleotide long non-coding RNA is filed under the name Mytilus galloprovincialis (Mediterranean mussel). The record is from RNAcentral. Lineage: Eukaryota; Metazoa; Mollusca; Bivalvia; Mytilida; Mytilidae.